This 236-nucleotide long non-coding RNA is filed under the name Mytilus galloprovincialis (Mediterranean mussel). Lineage: Eukaryota; Metazoa; Mollusca; Bivalvia; Mytilida; Mytilidae. The record is from RNAcentral.
GUAAUGUGUCAACUAUAUAUGUUGUAUAGAAGCAUUGUUAGCUGUACCUGUCUGCCUGACAUGGUUCAUCUGACCUGGACCUCUUUUUCAAGGUUCAUUGGUCUUUGUUUAGUUAUCUUGGUUAAUGUUAAGUUUAUGUGACAGUUGUAAUAAAGCUUAGCUUUAUACUUAGGACUAUCAACAUAAUAUCAAUGAUUAGUAUAGAAGGCGAGACAUUUCAGCGUGUGCACUCUUGU